CGCUGACGAGUGGCGGACGGGUGAGUAAUGUCUGGGAAACUGCCUGAUGGAGGGGGAUAACUACUGGAAACGGUGGCUAAUACCGCAUAACGUCGCAAGACCAAAGAGGGGGACCUUCGGGCCUCUUGCCAUCAGAUGUGCCCAGAUGGGAUUAGCUUGUUGGUGAGGUAACGGCUCACCAAGGCGACGAUCCCUAGCUGGUCUGAGAGGAUGACCAGCCACACUGGAACUGAGACACGGUCCAGACUCCUACGGGAGGCAGCAGUGGGGAAUAUUGCACAAUGGGCGCAAGCCUGAUGCAGCCAUGCCGCGUGUAUGAAGAAGGCCUUCGGGUUGUAAAGUACUUUCAGCGGGGAGGAAGGUGUUGUGGUUAAUAACCGCAGCAAUUGACGUUACCCGCAGAAGAAGCACCGGCUAACUCCGUGCCAGCAGCCGCGGUAAUACGGAGGGUGCAAGCGUUAAUCGGAAUUACUGGGCGUAAAGCGCACGCAGGCGGUCUGUCAAGUCGGAUGUGAAAUCCCCGGGCUCAACCUGGGAACUGCAUUCGAAACUGGCAGGCUUGAGUCUUGUAGAGGGGGGUAGAAUUCCAGGUGUAGCGGUGAAAUGCGUAGAGAUCUGGAGGAAUACCGGUGGCGAAGGCGGCCCCCUGGACAAAGACUGACGCUCAGGUGCGAAAGCGUGGGGAGCAAACAGGAUUAGAUACCCUGGUAGUCCACGCCGUAAACGAUGUCUACUUGGAGGUUGUGCCCUUGAGGCGUGGCUUCCGGAGCUAACGCGUUAAGUAGACCGCCUGGGGAGUACGGCCGCAAGGUUAAAACUCAAAUGAAUUGACGGGGGCCCGCACAAGCGGUGGAGCAUGUGGUUUAAUUCGAUGCAACGCGAAGAACCUUACCUGGUCUUGACAUCCACAGAACUUUCCAGAGAUGGAUUGGUGCCUUCGGGAACUGUGAGACAGGUGCUGCAUGGCUGUCGUCAGCUCGUGUUGUGAAAUGUUGGGUUAAGUCCCGCAACGAGCGCAACCCUUA
RNAcentral lists this ribosomal RNA (1025 nucleotides) under Salmonella enterica. Its description in RNAcentral is "bacterial SSU rRNA". It matches the Rfam family "Bacterial small subunit ribosomal RNA", at positions 86 to 1107 of the family's 1533-position model. The record is from RNAcentral. Lineage: Bacteria; Pseudomonadati; Pseudomonadota; Gammaproteobacteria; Enterobacterales; Enterobacteriaceae.